Molecule: long non-coding RNA, 908 nt
Organism: Solanum pennellii
Lineage: Eukaryota; Viridiplantae; Streptophyta; Magnoliopsida; Solanales; Solanaceae
Exons: 3
Source: RefSeq, a predicted model, not a curated record
CCACCAUACCUCUCCUCCCUUUUCCCUGCAUUUAUUUCACUUCUCAUUUCUGUUCCAAGUUUGUAAGAUCUACCCAUGCUCUCUUCAUUUGUGCAUAUUUCUCCAGAUCUCAGUUCCAAAAUGCGUGAAAUCAUUCGUAUUCAAGGUGGACAAUGUGGUAACCAAAUUGGUGCCAUGUUUUGGGAAGGUUUUUGUGCCAAGCCCGACAUUGAUUCUACCCGUCGUUACAAUGGUGAUUCUGAUCUCUACAUGAGAGAAUUAAUGUGUAUUACAAUGAGGUUAGUAGUGGAAGAUUUAUUCCUAUGGAUGUUAUUAUGGAUUCAGAGCACCAUGGAAAAUAUUAGAUCUGGUCCUUAUGGACGGACAUUCCAUCAUGAUUACUUUGUUUUUGGACAAGCUGGUGCUGGUAACAAUUGGGCUAAUGUACAUUACACCAAAGGUGCUAAAUAGAUUGAUGUCGUUCUCGAUCUUGUUAGUAAGGAAGUCGAAAAUUUUGACUGCCUUCAAGGAUUUCAAUUGUGCCAUUCAUAGGGUGGGGGAAGAGGUUUUUUAUGGGAACACUUCUGAUCUUAAAGAUCAGAGAAGAAUACCUGGAUAGAAUAAUGCUUAUCUUCUCCGUUUUCACUUCACUAAGGUUUCUGACAUUGUUGUUGAGCCUUAUAAUGCUACCUUGGCCGUGCAUCAUCAAUAAUUGGUUAAAAAUGCCGAAGAGUGUGUGCUUCUUGAUAAUGAGGUUCUAUAUUACAUCUUCUUCAGAACCCUAAAGUUCAUCACCCCAAGCUGUAUAAGAGGUGAGAAUUGAAUCAAGACUACUUGAAAGCUAAAUGUCGCCACAUAUUUUGGAAGAAACUCCACGUAUUUGUCUUACUUUAAGGAGUGAUAUUUAGUAAUCAAGUAUAUGACAUAUU